This is a long non-coding RNA of Trifolium pratense (red clover), 629 nucleotides long. RefSeq lists it as uncharacterized. The record is from RefSeq and is a predicted model, not a curated record. NCBI's taxonomy places the organism in Eukaryota, Viridiplantae, Streptophyta, Magnoliopsida, Fabales, Fabaceae. The transcript is spliced from 3 exons.
CAUAAAACAUGAUUGAUGAUAAAUGAUAACAAUGUUCACUUUUGCCAGAGAAAUUUUGAUAGAUAGGUGCUGACAACAUAAGCAAAUGCAUGUGUGCCACUUACCACUUUUUAUCAGUACAGAAGAAGAAGUAACAAACUCUCCUUUUGGUUAACAAAUGAACAACUUUCAAGACAUGUUCAAUAUUUGAGUGAACCUUUGUGUGUGAAGACAAGUAUUUGUUUGGUAAGGAAAUGAAAUUUGUGAUUACUUUGAUCCGGGAUGGGAGAUCGCGGUCAGGAAAAGCACGAUAUCACACAGUCAAACGAUCUCAUAUUCUCGGUCAAUUGAUACCCAAGGCACAAGAGCAUCUGGAUUUUGGACUUGUGAGAGAUCGGAAGAAAAAUGAUGGAACAAAAUAAAUUUGUGAAAUUGUUGUAUAUUAUGAUUAUGGGCCAAACACUCAACUAAAAUUUCCCUUAGUUUUCAUGUUCAUUUUAUUUUAACACUAUAGUUAAGAAUUCAUGUAUAUUUGUAAAUUGUAUAUUCUGGCAUGAGUGUGAAAAUAAUGCCACUUUAUACUAAAAAAUAAUGUAAGGACAGUAACAUAUUUAUGUGAAUAGCUUAUUGCUAAAUGAAUAUAAGAAUGU